AAGCUGUAUGAAAGGAGAGGUUAGCAUGCCCCUUGACAAGGAUGGAAGAGGCCCUCGGGCCUGCACAACAUGCAGAUGGUUAAGGCAUUGCACCUACUUCAUGGCAUCUAGCCAUCAUUUUUA
Choloepus didactylus (southern two-toed sloth) is the source of this 123-nucleotide small nuclear RNA. The record is from RefSeq and is a predicted model, not a curated record. NCBI's taxonomy places the organism in Eukaryota, Metazoa, Chordata, Mammalia, Pilosa, Megalonychidae.